Molecule: ribosomal RNA, 465 nt
Filed under: uncultured bacterium
Lineage: Bacteria
Description: partial 16S ribosomal RNA
Rfam family: Bacterial small subunit ribosomal RNA
Source: RNAcentral
CCUACGGGUGGCAGCAGUAGGGAAUCUUCCACAAUGGACGCAAGUCUGACGGAGCAACGCCGCGUGAGUGAAGAAGGGUUUCGGCUCGUAAAGCUCUGUUGGUAGUGAAGAAAGAUAGCUGUAGUAACUGGUCUCUCCUUGACGGUAUUUACCCAGAAAGUCACGGCUAACUACGUGCCAGCAGCCGCGGUAAUACGUAGGUGGCAAGCGUUGUCCGGAUUUAUUGGGCGUAAAGCGAGUGCAGGCGGUUCCAUAAGUCUGAUGUGAAAGCCGUCGGCUCAACCGGGGAGGGGAAUUGGAAACUGGUGAACUUGAGUGCAGAAGAGGAGAGUGGAAGUCCAUGGGUAGCGGUGAAAUGCGUAGAUAUAUGGAGGAACACCAGUGGCGAAGGCGACUCUCUGGUCUGCAACUGACGCUGAGGCUCGAAAGCGUGGGUAGCAAACAGGAUUAGAUACCCCAGUAGUC